GAUGAAGAACGUAGCGAAAUGCGAUAAGUAAUGUGAAUUGCAGAAUUCAGUGAAUCAUCGAAUCUUUGAACGCACAUUGCGCCCGCCAGUAUUCUGGCGGGCAUGCCUGUUCGAGCGUCAUUACAACCCUCAGGCCCCCGGGCCUGGCGUUGGGGAUCGGCGGAGCCCCCCGUGGGCACACGCCGUCCCCCAAAUACAGUGGCGGUCCCGCCGCAGCUUCCAUCGCGUAGUAGCUAACACCUCGCGACUGGAGAGCGGCGCGGCCACGCCGUAAAACACCCAACUCUUCUGAAGUUGACCUCGAAUCAGGUAGGAAUACCCGCUGAACUUAAGCAUAUAAUAAGCGGAGGA
RNAcentral lists this unclassified non-coding RNA (351 nucleotides) under soil metagenome. RNAcentral describes it as "partial contains 5.8S ribosomal RNA, internal transcribed spacer 2, and large subunit ribosomal RNA". The stretch from base 1 to 120 matches the Rfam family "5.8S ribosomal RNA", at positions 35 to 154 of the family's 154-position model. The record is from RNAcentral.